GACGAACGCUGGCGGCGUGCUUAACACAUGCAAGUCGAACGGAAAGGCCCUGCUUUUGUGGGGUGCUCGAGUGGCGAACGGGUGAGUAACACGUGAGUAACCUGCCCUUGACUUUGGGAUAACUUCAGGCAACUGGGGCUAAUACCGGAUAGGAGCUCCUGCUGCAUGGUGGGGGUUGGAAAGUUUCGGCGGUUGGGGAUGGACUCGCGGCUUAUCAGCUUGUUGGUGGGGUAGUGGCUUACCAAGGCGUUGACGGGUAGCCGGCCUGAGAGGGUGACCGGCCACAUUGGGACUGAGAUACGGCCCAGACUCCUACGGGAGGCAGCAGUGGGGAAUAUUGCACAAUGGGCGGAAGCCUGAUGCAGCAACGCCGCGUGCGGGAUGACGGCCUUCGGGUUGUAAACCGCUUUCGCCUGUGACGAAGCGUGAGUGACGGUAAUGGGUAAAGAAGCACCGGCUAACUACGUG
RNAcentral lists this ribosomal RNA (468 nucleotides) under uncultured bacterium. Its description in RNAcentral is "partial 16S ribosomal RNA". It matches the Rfam family "Bacterial small subunit ribosomal RNA", at positions 28 to 507 of the family's 1533-position model. The record is from RNAcentral.